AAUAGCUGUUUUUGAGACCAAUCAUGAGUUUGAUUAGAUAACCUUUCAAACCUGGUUUGGUACUCUUGAAUGGUAGAGGUUUGUCGGAUCUUUUCUAGUUAUCCGUCAAUAUUCUCGUAAUCGGUUGGUCUGAAGCGGAUCAGUAGUCCUUCUUUGAAUUGUCGCCAUGAAAGGACUCCAUAAGUAUGUUCAAACCAGUCAAA
Molecule: long non-coding RNA, 203 nt
Filed under: Musa acuminata (dwarf banana)
Lineage: Eukaryota; Viridiplantae; Streptophyta; Magnoliopsida; Zingiberales; Musaceae
Description: long non-coding RNA (MACU_LNC008269)
Source: RNAcentral